This 577-nucleotide ribosomal RNA is filed under the name uncultured bacterium. RNAcentral describes it as "bacterial SSU rRNA". It matches the Rfam family "Bacterial small subunit ribosomal RNA", at positions 338 to 916 of the family's 1533-position model. The record is from RNAcentral.
CCUACGGGAGGCAGCAGUAGGGAAUAUUGGUCAAUGGGUGCAAGCCUGAACCAGUCAUGCCGCGUGCAGGAAGAAGGCCCUAUGGGUUGUAAACUGCUUUUGCCAGGGGAUAAAACGAGCAUGCGUGCUUAAUUGAAGGUACCUGGUGAAUAAGCCACGGCUAACUACGUGCCAGCAGCCGCGGUAAUACGUAGGUGGCAAGCGUUGUCCGGAUUUAUUGGGUUUAAAGGGUGCGUAGGCGGUUAUAUAAGUCAGUGCUGAAGUAUCCCGGCUUAACCGGGAGGGUGGCAUUGAUACUGUAUGACUUGAGUAAAGUUGAGGUUGGCGGAAUUGACGGUGUAGCGGUGAAAUGCUUAGAUAUCGUCAAGAACACCGAUUGCGAAGGCAGCUAACUAAGCUUUAACUGACGCUGAGGCACGAAAGUGUGGGGAUCAAACAGGAUUAGAUACCCUGGUAGUCCACACUGUAAACGUUGAUUACUCGCUGUUGGCGAUACACAGCCAGCGGCUUAGCGCAAGCGAUAAGUAAUCCACCUGGGGAGUACGCCGGCAACGGUGAAACUCAAAGGAAUUGACGG